UAUUCAGUCGAUAAUAGAAAAUGGCAUAUAUUAUUCAGGGAUCUGAUUGUAAGCUACGUUGCGAAGCAUGCAGAGUUCAUUAUUCAGAACGAAAGAUAGGGAUCAAGCAAUCAGAUACGUCGUAGUCCUAUCUAUAACUAUGCCGACUAGGGAUUGGAAUGAACAUCACCAUUUCAGUACUUAUGAGAAAUCAAAGUCUUUGGGUCUGGGGGGAGUAUGGUCGCAAGACUGAACGUAAAGAAAUUGACGCACGGCCCCCACCAGGAGUGGAGCUGCGCUAAUAUGACUCAACACGGGAACUUACCAGGUCCAGACAUAGUAGGUGCGAUGUGCUCUUUCUUGAUUCUAUGGGUGGUGGUGCAUGCCCGUUCUUAGUUGGUGGAGUGAUUUGUCUGGUUAAUUCCGAUAACGAACGAGACCUUAACCUGCUAACUAGAUAUUUUCAUUUUAUGAAUAUAUAUUAUAAGAAAGACUAUAUGCUUUAAGUAUAUGGAAGUUUGAGGCAAUAACAGGUCUGUGAUGCCCUUAUAUGUCCUGGGCUGCACGCGUGCUACACUGAUAUAUACAACAAGUGCCUAGCUAGAUAUAGUAUGGCAAUCUCGAAUAUAUAUCGUGAUGGGGAUAGAUCUUUGCAAUUAUAGAUCUUGAACGAGGAAUUCCUAGUAAGUGCAAGUCAUCAUCUUGCAUUGAUUAUGUCCCUGCCCUUUGUACACACCGCCCGUCGCUCCUACCGAUACCGGGUGAUCCGGUGAACCUGUUGGACCCGUAGGGAAAAAUAAGUAAAUCAAUCACCAAGAGGAAGGCGGUUCGA
Molecule: ribosomal RNA, 811 nt
Filed under: uncultured rumen protozoa
Lineage: Eukaryota
Description: bacterial SSU rRNA
Rfam family: Eukaryotic small subunit ribosomal RNA
Source: RNAcentral